GAUGAAGAACGCAGCGAAAUGCGAUAAGUAGUGUGAAUUGCAGAAUUCAGUGAAUCAUCGAAUCUUUGAACGCACAUUGCGCCCCUUGGUAUUCCAUGGGGCAUGCCUGUUCGAGCGUCAUUUGUACCCUCAAGCACUGCUUGGUGUUGGGUGUUUGUCCCGCUUUGCGCGUGGACUCGCCUUAAAGCAAUUGGCAGCCGGCAGAUUGGCCUGGAUCGCGAGCACAUUUUGCGACCUUGUCAUAACUGUUUGGCACCCAUCAAGACUAUUUUUUGCUCUUGACCUCGGAUCAGGUAGGGAUACCCGCUGAACUUAAGCAUAUCAAUAGCGGAGGA
RNAcentral lists this unclassified non-coding RNA (335 nucleotides) under soil metagenome. RNAcentral's name for it is "partial contains 5.8S ribosomal RNA, internal transcribed spacer 2, and large subunit ribosomal RNA". The stretch from base 1 to 120 matches the Rfam family "5.8S ribosomal RNA", at positions 35 to 154 of the family's 154-position model. The record is from RNAcentral.